RNAcentral lists this ribosomal RNA (208 nucleotides) under uncultured bacterium. RNAcentral's name for it is "partial 16S ribosomal RNA". It matches the Rfam family "Bacterial small subunit ribosomal RNA", at positions 524 to 729 of the family's 1533-position model. The record is from RNAcentral.
UACGAGAGGCCCAAACGUUAUUCGGAUUUACUGGGCUUAAAGAGUUCGUAGGCGGCGCAGAAAGUAGGGUGUGAAAGCCCUCGGCUCAACCGAGGAAUUGCGCCCUAAACUACUGUGCUUGAGGAAGCUAGAGGUGAGCAGAACAGAUGGUGGAGCGGUGAAAUGCGUUGAUAUCAUCUGGAAUACCGGAGGCGUAAGGGCGGCUCAC